Molecule: long non-coding RNA, 1429 nt
Filed under: Columba livia (rock pigeon)
Lineage: Eukaryota; Metazoa; Chordata; Aves; Columbiformes; Columbidae
Description: partial uncharacterized LOC106145815
Source: RNAcentral
CAGGAAGAAGAGAUGCCAGAUGUAGAAAUUGACAUUGAUGACCUUCUUGAUGCAGCCAAUGAAGAGGAGAGAACUCUCAAAUUACAGGAAACUCUUGUAGAUUGCUACAAACCAACAGAGGAAUUUAUCAAAGAGCUGCUAACUCGGAUAAGAGGAAUGAGGAAACUCAGUCCCCCUCAAAAGAAGAGUAUAUAAAUAACUCCAAGCAGUAGCACUCUGUAAAAGACAUGGCAAGGGAAAAGGGACUUUGAAUAUAAGGCCUUUAUUAAAAUAGUUGUCUUUCUCCACAACUUUUUUGAUUUCAUUCAGUUUUGACUCAAGGAGUUUCUUUUGUGUGUUUUAAGGGUUCUUUUUUUAAGUGUCAAUUUUUUUAUCAAGAAUAUCAACAAUUUGGAUGCUGCUCAACUUCCACUUGAGGAUUACUGAAGCAAGUGAAGAAUCCAAGAGUUAGUGAUGAGGGGCAGCAAGCCUAUGUGGUGAUCCAGAAGAUCUUGUAAAUUUACAGAGCUAGGAGACUUCUUGCAACUAGUUGGAUAACAUUAAGUUGGUUGUACAUUGAACUCAUGGAUGUCAAGUUUCUUGUGCUUGUCUGUACAUAAAUUAUAAAGUGGGUGGUGAAUACUGUUUCACAUGAAUGGAAGGAAAAAUUUGUUACAGUAAAUUAUUUAAAUGGUGGUUAUUGCAAAUUUGUUACCAGAAGGUACCAAUUUAGAUUACUAUGAGUGCUGCCAUUUUUCUAAAUACCUUUAAAGUAGCCCAGUGAAAAAUUUCAUCAUAUCUCCUUGUUUAGACUGCAGCAUAUGAAAAUUGGGAAUUUUAAGGGCUUAAUUUGUAGACUUAAAUUUAUUUGACUGACUUUGAUGCUUUGCCAGGUUGUUUCCUCUCCACCUCAUAGUGUCUUGGAACAAUGCUAACCUAUACUGAAUGAAGGGCCUGCAGUGAUAUCUAGAGAAAUGUCUAUCACCAUUCAAAAGUCUGCUUCCCAGUGGAGGAAAGGCAUUGCUACCAGAAUGAAUUACAAGAACUGCCUUGUGUUUAGUGCUGUGGUCUGAAUCAAAUGCAGAUUACUCUCCUAUUAAGAUAGGUGAAGAAUAUUAUAAUCUUUGUUUAUGGUUCUGCCCUGAGAAGUGGGAAGACUUCUUAACUUGGGCUCUCUUUCUUGCAAAAGCAAGAACAGAAGAGACAUCCCUGCUCCCUCCUGGAAAAUGUCCUAACUAAAAUGUUCAAUAAGCUACCAUAUGCUGGUAGGUGACAUUAGUCAGGCAUUUUAUAUCAAGGGUGCUCUGAACAUAUUUUAUUUUUCAAAAGAAGUACAUGUUUGUGAAUUUUAUGUGUACUGGCAAGCUUUUUUAAUGUAUUUAAUUUUGUAAUGUUUACCGAUGAUUUUAUUUACCGGAUAUUUACUCAAAUAAAUGGAACAACUUGUGAC